Molecule: ribosomal RNA, 200 nt
Filed under: uncultured bacterium
Lineage: Bacteria
Description: partial 16S ribosomal RNA
Rfam family: Bacterial small subunit ribosomal RNA
Source: RNAcentral
AGAGUUUGAUCCUGGCUCAGGAUGAACGCUAGCGGCAGGCCUAAUACAUGCAAGUCGAGGGGCAGCGGGGUAGCAAUACCGCCGGCGACCGGCAAACGGGUGCGGAACACGUACGCAACCUUCCUUCAAGAGAUGGAUAGCCCGAAGAAAUUCGGAUUAAUACAUCGUAAAAUCACAGGGUGGCAUCACUUAAUGAUUAA